Molecule: ribosomal RNA, 468 nt
Filed under: uncultured bacterium
Lineage: Bacteria
Description: partial 16S ribosomal RNA
Rfam family: Bacterial small subunit ribosomal RNA
Source: RNAcentral
GACGAACGCUGGCGGCGUGCUUAACACAUGCAAGUCGAACGGAAAGGCCCUGCUUUUGUGGGGUGCUCGAGUGGCGAACGGGUGAGUAACACGUGAGUAACCUGCCCUUGACUUUGGGAUAACUUCAGGAAACUGGGGCUAAUACCGGAUAGGAGCUCCUGCUGCAUGGUGGGGGGUGGAAAGUUUCGGCGGCUGGGGAUGGACUCGCGGCUUAUCAGCUUGUUGGUGGGGUAGUGGCUUACCAAGGCUUUGACGGGUAGCCGGCCUGAGAGGGUGACCGGCCACAUUGGGACUGAGAUACGGCCCAGACUCCUACGGGAGGCAGCAGUGGGGAAUAUUGCACAAUGGGCGGAAGCCUGAUGCAGCAACGCCGCGUGCGGGAUGACGGCCUUCGGGUUGUAAACCGCUUUCGCCUGUGACGAAGCGUGAGUGACGGUAAUGGGUAAAGAAGCACCGGCUAACUACGUG